Molecule: unclassified non-coding RNA, 355 nt
Filed under: soil metagenome
Description: partial contains 5.8S ribosomal RNA, internal transcribed spacer 2, and large subunit ribosomal RNA
Rfam family: 5.8S ribosomal RNA (bases 1-120)
Source: RNAcentral
GAUGAAGAACGCAGCGAAAUGCGAUAAGUAAUGUGAAUUGCAGAAUUCAGAGAAUCAUCGAAUCUUUGAACGCACAUUGCGCCCAUUAGUAUUCUAGUGGGCAUGCCUGUUCGAGCGUCAUUAAGUCCACUUAAGCCCUGCUUAGUGUUGGGAGACUGCUCCAGCGGUGCUACCCUGUAGCUACCCUGCAGCUCCUCAAAGACAGCGGCGGAGUUGUGGUAUCCUCUGAGCUUAGUAACUUGUUCUAGCUUUCGAGUACACCACUUCCCCUGCCGUAAAACCCUUAAUUUUUAAUGGUUGACCUCGGAUCAGGUAGGAAUACCCGCUGAACUUAAGCAUAUCAAUAAGCGGAGGA